This 471-nucleotide long non-coding RNA is filed under the name Homo sapiens (human). RNAcentral describes it as "HSALNT0083602". The record is from RNAcentral. Lineage: Eukaryota; Metazoa; Chordata; Mammalia; Primates; Hominidae.
UAGAAAGACAAGCUGGCAUUGUAAAUUGAGAAAGACGGUGCUGCAGACACAAUGUUUCUGAACAUGCUCAAAGUGCUGUGGUGGCAUUGCUUUAGUGGCAUAGAGUGCCCUUGGAGCAUUUUCAAGAGGAUAGAUGUGUUGAAGAACAUGUUUGUGAGUUCCAGACAGGCCAGAUACUUCCUUGCUGCGUGGGCAGAUGGUCCUUCAGCCUCCUCUGUCUUUGAUGAGUUGUCUGUGCCUGUGUCAUCAAAACUCAAGUUAUAGGUGUAGAGCCUGCAUCUCUUCUUAACAGAGUUUUAUGAUCUUAAAGGAAACUAUACAGUGAACAGCCCUGCAAAGGUGAAGAGGAGCUUAUUACCAUGACACAGAUUUAACACUGGGCAAGUCUCACCUCUCUAAAUGUGCAUGACCCUGGUAAUGUAGUCUCAGUGUGUGUAAUGCAAAAAUUGACAGAUGAUUAGGAGCAAAAAU